Molecule: ribosomal RNA, 345 nt
Filed under: Triticum aestivum (bread wheat)
Lineage: Eukaryota; Viridiplantae; Streptophyta; Magnoliopsida; Poales; Poaceae
Description: partial small subunit ribosomal RNA
Source: RNAcentral
GAGUCUGCUGCCCACCUGCUAUUUCAGUGUAGAUUCACGAAUAGAGUUUGAAACGAGAUUACCAUUUGGCUGGGAAUCCACGACUGCUCACCAAUGAUUUGGCGAAAUGAAGUUUCGGUUCGAACUUGGUGGUAAAAGGCGGUGAGCAACGCGGAUCAUAACAGAAAGGCUCUUGCCUCUGUUAUGAUGCUUGUCUCAUGGGAGAUAUGGAAAGAACGAAAUGCCAUUAUUUUUCACAACGCCGCGACUCCGACCACAAUUAUCAUCACGAGAAUUAAAGAGGAGGCCCACCUGUGGACUUUGACUGGGGCCAAGCAUUUGAGUAGUCUUAUGUUGCGAGAGUAG